AGUGAACGCUGGCGGUAGGCCUAACACAUGCAAAUCGAACGGCAGCACAGUAAGAGCUUGCUCUUACGGGUGGCGAGUGGCGGACGGGUGAGGAAUACAUCGGAAUCUACUUUUUCGUGGGGGAUAACGUAGGGAAACUUACGCUAAUACCGCAUACGACCUACGGGUGAAAGCAGGGGAUCUUCGGACCUUGCGCGAUUGAAUGAGCCGAUGUCGGAUUAGCUAGUUGGCGGGGUAACGGCCCACCAAGGCGACGAUCCGUAGCUGGUCUGAGAGGAUGAUCAGCCACACUGGAACUGAGACACGGUCCAGACUCCUACGGGAGGCAGCAGUGGGGAAUAUUGGACAAUGGGCGCAAGCCUGAUCCAGCCAUACCGCGUGGGUGAAGAAGGCCUUCGGGUUGUAAAGCCCUUUUGUUGGGAAAGAAAAGCAGCAGGUUAAUACCCCGCUGUUCUGACGGUACCCAAAGAAUAAGCACCGGCUAACUUCGUG
RNAcentral lists this ribosomal RNA (492 nucleotides) under uncultured bacterium. Its description in RNAcentral is "partial 16S ribosomal RNA". It matches the Rfam family "Bacterial small subunit ribosomal RNA", at positions 29 to 507 of the family's 1533-position model. The record is from RNAcentral.